CUCUACUGACUCCAUCCUCUCCUCUCCCUUGUGUCCUCGAGGCGGCUGGCGGCACCUCAGGGAGGAGGAGUGUCUAGCAUCUGCAUAUGGCCAGAUGGGCGGGAUGCGUGCAGCUUGAGCCGGACGGGCAGAAAGAUGGGGCGGCAACCUGAAGCCAUGGAUGACGGCGGUAUCGUCAGCGACGACGCGUCGGGAGGUCGAUUACAGAAGCCGGGGCCCUUUUUUUGCGGGAGCAACAAACCAUAGAGAAUUUGGUGACUGCAGGACAUAGAACAACAAGCCAUAGCGAUUUGGUCGGGGAUUUGGGUAAAGGAAGUGAUCUGCACCUUGGUGAAUUGAAGACACGAGCUCGUACUGCUCAAAACAUACAGUUUGGCUUAGAUGGAGCCAUUCUUCCGCGAACCAAAAAAGGAAAUAUUUUUCUGGGCCACCAUCAGCCGCGAUGGCCUCACUAAGCGAUAAGACCGGUUCUUCUCUUAUUGUGGAAACAGUGGGACUGUGGGAGUUCCAACUCUUCCAUGGAGUGGAUCACAGUUAUACAUUCUCUUAUUUCUGUAUAGUUUUGCUCUGGUUUAUUUUUCUUUGCUUAAAAUUAAAUUCGGGAGUCAAGUUCUUACUAUCUUUCUGAAUUCGUUAUAAGUUUCGCAUCGUGUUCUGUAUUUACAAAUUCGCCGAAUAGACAAGCAAGGCAACUGAGCUGAGGAGAGACCUGCUGAUUUGGGCUUGCAGGAGCGUGUCUCAGAUGUCUUGACUAUGAUGCCCACAUUAUAGAGAUAUAUCCGGAUUUCCCUCUUCAUAUGUUAUUCAAAAGUCGAGCUGGGUGAAGGUGUACCAUUGCAUUGGUACGAUGUGUUUACCAGCUCAUGGUACGCUUAGUAAUUUACAGAGACUUCAUGGUAGUUUUGCUGAGAAGACAAGCAAGACAUUGAGCUCAGGAGAGACUCGCUGAUUUGGACUUGCGGGAGCAUCUCUCGGAUGGGUGACUAUGAUCUCCGUGUUAUAAGGAUAUCUGAAUUUCCUCUUCAUGUUGUAUUCAAAGUCUAGCUGAGCGAAGUCUACCUUUGCACUGGUUCGUAUGUUUUUACCAAUUCUGCAGUAGGUAAAUGAGUUUUACUUGGCAUACGAAUUUUAGAUUAUAGCAUUCUAUGUCCUCGAUACACACAGUAAUUUACACAGACUUCAUUGAUGCUAUAGUUUUGUUUCUGCUUGUGCACUUGAACUCUGUUUGGUACUCUACACCUUUGUCAAAAAAACUCGAAACAUAUGAUGGUGGGCUUAUAUUUGUAUGGUAUGAUUACUAGCAGUUUAUAUAGUUCUUUGCGGCUACAGCUGGCCAUUUUUAAUGGCCCAUUGCAAACUUGCUAUUUAGGCACAAAUUCUAACUUUUGAGGUAUAUGUGCUUAUAUUCUUACUUAGUGCUAGAUCAGUGUCCCAACACAAUAAUGAUAUGCCUCAUAUAAGAGCAAUAGUCUUCUCUUAGAAAAGCUGAAGCGACAAGACUCAAAAACUAACUUUAUUGAAAUGCAAAGUUUGUUCUGCACGGUUUAAGUUCGUUUUGAAGUUUAACUUUUUUUAUUGACUUGUACUUUUUAUGAGUAGCAACUUUCAUUCUAAAUAGAGAGACUGUUAAUUGAAGUGUUCCAUCGGUCUUAUUGGGAGCAUGUGGUAGAUUAUUUUUGCGCAAUACUGCUCGAUCAUGUCUAGAGAAAUUGAGAAUCAUUUUUGUAGUUUGGAAUAUAACAGGUACAUAGCUUAUGAUGUUGGUCUGAUGUUCUCUGAAAGGUGUUAGUGACAUAUCUGUUUGAGUGCAAAUUAAGCUUCACAUCGCUGAUAUCCACAAGAAUGACCUUCGUUGAAAGGCCUCUGUAGUUGUUAAGAUCACCUACUUUUCGCUGUAAUGGCAGAUGCCGACCUUGGGGUUUUGAGGAGUAUAUCGACCCCCUCAAAGGUCUAAUGAUAGUAAGCACAAAAAAUAAUCUUAAGCCAUUAAUCAAACAAAGUCAUUUAUUAGCGUGAGAAAUGCAUACACACUUUAUCUUGUACAUGCUUCUAGCAUAUAAUGUGCAUACAUUAAAAUUCUGGUUUACACUAUUAUUUGACCCCGGUUACCAAUUUAAUAUAUGCAGACUAGAAUUCAUCUAAAGCUAUGCACAUGAUCAGCUACAACCUCACAUUUAUAAGAAAAUUUCAAUAUGCUCAUAAACAGAUCAUCUUUUUUUGGCACCACACAUCCCAGUUGUACUGGAAGAGUAAUAUAAAGGUGUUUCUCUUCCAAGUUUAUGAUUCUGACUACAUGUGUACUGCUUGGCACUUGGUGAUGUUGCCAGAUUCCGAAGUGUAAUUUUACUGUCAUAUUUUAAGAGAAUUAUUUGUUGAAUUCCUUUUUAUAGUCCAGUGCCCAUUCUUAUGUGAUUAAUGUUCUCAUAUUGUUCUAUUCUUGAAGGGAUAUACUUGGAAGAACCUUGUGUUAGGAUAGAAG
Molecule: long non-coding RNA, 2479 nt
Organism: Lolium perenne
Lineage: Eukaryota; Viridiplantae; Streptophyta; Magnoliopsida; Poales; Poaceae
Source: RefSeq, a predicted model, not a curated record